Molecule: non-coding RNA, 74 nt
Organism: Echinostoma caproni
Lineage: Eukaryota; Metazoa; Platyhelminthes; Trematoda; Plagiorchiida; Echinostomatidae
Source: Rfam
GGCCCGGUGGCGCAGUUGGUUAGCGCGUCGUGCUGAUAACGCGAAGGUCGUGGGUUCGAGCCCCACCCGGGCCA